Molecule: non-coding RNA, 73 nt
Organism: Trichonephila inaurata madagascariensis
Lineage: Eukaryota; Metazoa; Arthropoda; Arachnida; Araneae; Nephilidae
Source: the annotation of a GenBank genome assembly
GUCUCUGUAACGCAAUGGAUAGCGCGUUGGACUUUUAAUCCAAAGAUAGUCGUUUCGAAUUUUACCUGGGAUU